CCUACGGGUGGCAGCAGUGAGGAAUAUUGGUCAAUGGACGCAAGUCUGAACCAGCCAAGUAGCGUGCAGGAUGACGGCCCUACGGGUUGUAAACUUCUUUUAUAUAGGAAUAAAGUGAGGCACGUGUGCCUCUUUUUAUGUAUUCUAUGAAUAAGGAUCGGCUAACAUCGCGCCAGCAGCCGCGGUAAUAUGGAGGAUCCGCGCGUUAUCCGGAUUUAUUGGGUUUAAAGGGAGCGUAGAUGGGUUGUUAAGUCAGUUGUGAAAGUGUGCGGCUCAACCGUGGAAUUGCACUUGAUACUGGAAGUCUUGAGUGCAGUCAGGGAAGGCGGAAUGCAUGGUGUAGCGGUGAAAUGCUUAGAUAUCAUGAAGAACUCCGAUUGCGAAGGCAAGUGACCAGGCUGCAACUGACGUUGAUGCUCGAAAGUGUGGGUAUCAAACAGGAUUAGAUACCCGUGUAGUC
RNAcentral lists this ribosomal RNA (460 nucleotides) under uncultured bacterium. RNAcentral's name for it is "partial 16S ribosomal RNA". It matches the Rfam family "Bacterial small subunit ribosomal RNA", at positions 338 to 795 of the family's 1533-position model. The record is from RNAcentral.